GAGAGUUUGAUCCUGGCUCAGGACGAACGCUGGCGGCGUGCCUAAUACAUGCAAGUCGUACGCUUCUUUUUCCACCGGAGCUUGCUCCACCGGAAAAAGAAGAGUGGCGAACGGGUGAGUAACACGUGGGUAACCUGCCCAUCAGAAGGGGAUAACACUUGGAAACAGGUGCUAAUACCGUAUAACAAUCGAAACCGCAUGGUUUUGAUUUGAAAGGCGCUUUCGGGUGUCGCUGAUGGAUGGACCCGCGGUGCAUUAGCUAGUUGGUGAGGUAACGGCUCACCAAGGCCACGAUGCAUAGCCGACCUGAGAGGGUGAUCGGCCACAUUGGGACUGAGACACGGCCCAAACUCCUACGGGAGGCAGCAGUAGGGAAUCUUCGGCAAUGGACGAAAGUCUGACCGAGCAACGCCGCGUGAGUGAAGAAGGUUUUCGGAUCGUAAAACUCUGUUGUUAGAGAAGAACAAGGAUGAGAGUAACUGUUCAUCCCUUGACGGUAUCUAACCAGAAAGCCACGGCUAACUACGUGCCAGCAGCCGCGGUAAUACGUAGGUGGCAAGCGUUGUCCGGAUUUAUUGGGCGUAAAGCGAGCGCAGGCGGUUUCUUAAGUCUGAUGUGAAAGCCCCCGGCUCAACCGGGGAGGGUCAUUGGAAACUGGGAGACUUGAGUGCAGAAGAGGAGAGUGGAAUUCCAUGUGUAGCGGUGAAAUGCGUAGAUAUAUGGAGGAACACCAGUGGCGAAGGCGGCUCUCUGGUCUGUAACUGACGCUGAGGCUCGAAAGCGUGGGGAGCAAACAGGAUUAGAUACCCUGGUAGUCCACGCCGUAAACGAUGAGUGCUAAGUGUUGGAGGGUUUCCGCCCUUCAGUGCUGCAGCUAACGCAUUAAGCACUCCGCCUGGGGAGUACGACCGCAAGGUUGAAACUCAAAGGAAUUGACGGGGGCCCGCACAAGCGGUGGAGCAUGUGGUUUAAUUCGAAGCAACGCGAAGAACCUUACCAGGUCUUGACAUCCUUUGACCACUCUAGAGAUAGAGCUUCCCCUUCGGGGGCAAAGUGACAGGUGGUGCAUGGUUGUCGUCAGCUCGUGUCGUGAGAUGUUGGGUUAAGUCCCGCAACGAGCGC
Molecule: ribosomal RNA, 1122 nt
Filed under: Enterococcus faecium
Lineage: Bacteria; Bacillati; Bacillota; Bacilli; Lactobacillales; Enterococcaceae
Description: bacterial SSU rRNA
Rfam family: Bacterial small subunit ribosomal RNA
Source: RNAcentral